GAUGAACGCUGGCGGCGUGCCUAAUACAUGCAAGUCGAGCGAACGGACGAGAAGCUUGCUUCUCUGAUGUUAGCGGCGGACGGGUGGGUAACACGUGGAUAACCUACCUAUAAGACUGGGAUAACUUCGGGAAACCGGAGCUAAUACCGGAUAAUAUUUUGAACCGCAUGGUUCAAAAGUGAAAGACGGUCUUGCUGUCACUUAUAGAUGGAUCCGCGCUGCAUUAGCUAGUUGGUAAGGUAACGGCUUACCAAGGCAACGAUGCAUAGCCGACCUGAGAGGGUGAUCGGCCACACUGGAACGUAGACACGGUCCAGACUCCUACGGGAGGCAGCAGUAGGGAAUCUUCCGCAAUGGGCGAAAGCCUGACGGAGCAACGCCGCGUGAGUGAUGAAGGUCUUCGGAUCGGAAAACUCUGUUAUUAGGGAAGAACAUAUGUGUAAGUAACUGUGCACAUCUUGACGGUACCUAAUCAGAAAGCCACGGCUAACUACGUG
Molecule: ribosomal RNA, 497 nt
Filed under: uncultured bacterium
Lineage: Bacteria
Description: partial 16S ribosomal RNA
Rfam family: Bacterial small subunit ribosomal RNA
Source: RNAcentral